GUUUUGUUAACGUUAACUAAUAUAAAUCUUCCUUAACAUAUUGUCAGGCAUGCCAUAAAGCCCUCGAGCUACGAUGGAGCAAAUUCCAGAGAAAUGCUACUCUUUUGAAGCGCCAGUUAACAUGGCAAUUUAACGGCCAUUUGGGUAAGAAAGGAAUCAGUGGGCACAUCAAGGUUUGUUAUGAAGAGAAGACUCUUUCAAUAGAGGUAAAAAUGCCCCAAGAUGCAUCAAGCAGCAGUGUUCGUGACACACGAGGACUUUCAGGGGGAGAACGCUCUUUUUCAACUUUGUGUUUUGCACUUGCUCUUCAUGAGAUGACUGAAGCUCCAUUUAGAGCAAUGGAUGAA
Solanum verrucosum is the source of this 347-nucleotide long non-coding RNA. RefSeq lists it as uncharacterized. The transcript is spliced from 4 exons. The record is from RefSeq and is a predicted model, not a curated record. Lineage: Eukaryota; Viridiplantae; Streptophyta; Magnoliopsida; Solanales; Solanaceae.